GGCACCAACACACCAAGCUGACUUGGAUCCUGCAGGGAGCUGAAAGACAACAGGAAGAUUCUCUGAAUUCUGUACGUCAGGUAAACGUUCCUACUUCAGCUGAGCACGUUGGUUCCACAGUAGCAGAGCAGGAAAAACAACGUUACAAGAAACAAUUUGUAAGAAGAAAAGUGGAAGAUGUCUGGAACCAAGCAGCACAAGUGGGAAAAAACAUUCCAUCCUGGUAACAGGAAUGUUACAUUAACAUUAGAGGGAGAUAAAACACCAACAACAUUCAUAAAUCGGUGGAGACAUGAAACUUCUGAGAAUAAACUUGACAUAUCCAAAAAACCAUCAAUAUCACCUGGAAGUGUGUCAGUGAGCCCAUCUGGUUUAAUUGAUAUAAUUGAUACAUAUGACAGAUCAGCUGAGGCUUCAGACCAGUUCUGGACUUGAAAUAUCUCAACAAACACAUACGCUCAGUAUGGUUCAAAAUGGAGACUCUGCGGUCAGUAAUUCGAGGAAAGGAACCCAAAGGGGUUGAGGCAAAAAUCUUAGGCACCGGGAUUAGACUUGGACCCAAUCCAAGUAUCUCUUUGUUUGGGUCAGAACUUUCUUGUGUUAUUUCAUAAGAUCCACUAGGAUCUACUUAUCAAGGUCCAAAAAUGCAGCUUUUUGAUUCCAUAGUGAAAAUACCCCAUAACAAUUAUAAAGCCUGCAAGUCAUUCUAUAUAUAUAUAUAAUACACAAAAGCCAUGAAUAUCCUGUAAAUUAUAUCCUUAUAAAUGGUG
Xenopus laevis (African clawed frog) is the source of this 770-nucleotide long non-coding RNA. RefSeq lists it as uncharacterized. NCBI's taxonomy places the organism in Eukaryota, Metazoa, Chordata, Amphibia, Anura, Pipidae. The record is from RefSeq and is a predicted model, not a curated record. The transcript is spliced from 3 exons.